UACAGAGGUCUCAAGCGUUGUUCGGAGUUACUGGGCGUAAAGGGUGCGUAGGCGGCGCGGUAAGUCGGGUGUGAAAUUUCGAGGCUUAACUUCGAAACUGCAUUCGAUACUGCCGUGCUAGAGGACUGGAGAGGAGACUGGAAUUUACGGUGUAGCGGUGAAAUGCGUAGAUAUCGUAAGGAAGACCAGUGGCGAAGGCGGGUCUCUGGACAGUUCCUGACACUGAGACACGAAGGCCAGGGGAGCAAACGGG
Molecule: ribosomal RNA, 253 nt
Filed under: uncultured bacterium
Lineage: Bacteria
Description: partial 16S ribosomal RNA
Rfam family: Bacterial small subunit ribosomal RNA
Source: RNAcentral